Molecule: ribosomal RNA, 720 nt
Filed under: uncultured bacterium
Lineage: Bacteria
Description: bacterial SSU rRNA
Rfam family: Bacterial small subunit ribosomal RNA
Source: RNAcentral
GCGUGAGGAACCUGCCUCAAAGAGGGGGACAACAGUUGGAAACGACUGCUAGUACCGCAUAAGCCCACGGCUCGGCAUCGAGCAGAGGGAAAAGGAGCAAUCCGCUUUGAGAUGGCCUCGCGUCCGAUUAGCUAGUUGGUGAGGUAAUGGCCCACCAAGGCGACGAUCGGUAGCCGGACUGAGAGGUUGAACGGCCACAUUGGGACUGAGACACGGCCCAGACUCCUACGGGAGGCAGCAGUGGGGAAUAUUGCACAAUGGGGGAAACCCUGAUGCAGCGACGCCGCGUGGAGGAAGAAGGUCUUCGGAUUGUAAACUCCUGUUGUUGAGGAAGAUAAUGACGGUACUCAACAAGGAAGUGACGGCUAACUACGUGCCAGCAGCCGCGGUAAAACGUAGGUCACAAGCGUUGUCCGGAAUUACUGGGUGUAAAGGGAGCGCAGGCGGGAGAACAAGUUGGAAGUGAAAUCCAUGGGCUCAACCCAUGAACUGCUUUCAAAACUGUUUUUCUUGAGUAGUGCAGAGGUAGGCGGAAUUCCCGGUGUAGCGGUGGAAUGCGUAGAUAUCGGGAGGAACACCAGUGGCGAAGGCGGCCUACUGGGCACCAACUGACGCUGAGGCUCGAAAGUGUGGGUAGCAAACAGGAUUAGAUACCCUGGUAGUCCACACCGUAGACGAUGAUUACUAGGUGUUGGGGGAUUGACCCCUUCAGUGCCGCAG